RNAcentral lists this ribosomal RNA (362 nucleotides) under uncultured bacterium. RNAcentral describes it as "bacterial SSU rRNA". It matches the Rfam family "Bacterial small subunit ribosomal RNA", at positions 29 to 418 of the family's 1533-position model. The record is from RNAcentral.
AACGAACGCUGGCGGCAUGCCUAACACAUGCAAGUCGAACGAAGCCUUCGGGCUUAGUGGCGCACGGGUGCGUAACGCGUGGGAAUCUGCCCUUAGGUACGGAAUAACUCAGGGAAACUUGUGCUAAUACCGUAUGAUGUCGAGAGACCAAAGAUUUAUCGCCUAGGGAUGAGCCCGCGUAGGAUUAGCUAGUUGGUGGGGUAAAGGCCUACCAAGGCGACGAUCCUUAGCUGGUCUGAGAGGAUGAUCAGCCACACUGGGACUGAGACACGGCCCAGACUCCUACGGGAGGCAGCAGUGGGGAAUAUUGGACAAUGGGCGAAAGCCUGAUCCAGCAAUGCCGCGUGAGUGAAGAAGGCCUC